GGGAAAAAUUCUUUAUGCAUCGCACGCAGGGUGAGUGAAAAAUAAUUUUCUUUUCACACGUUAUUUGAUUUCACGUAUGAGCCAAUCACUACACACGGUGCGCCCAUUCCGUACUGCAUAUGGUGCAUAAAGAAUUUUUCAUAGCUAGAGACAAGAAAUACUUCAUAUCAGGUGGAGAGAUGGCUAGUGAAGUCCAAAGAGGUUUGAGCAAGGGUGAUGGGGCUAAAGGUCGCAUUAAGUGAAAGAAGAAGCAGGG
Molecule: long non-coding RNA, 256 nt
Filed under: Elaeis guineensis (African oil palm)
Lineage: Eukaryota; Viridiplantae; Streptophyta; Magnoliopsida; Arecales; Arecaceae
Description: long non-coding RNA (EGUI_LNC044295)
Source: RNAcentral